AGGCUAAAAUAAGAAACAAUGAAUGAAAAGAC
This 32-nucleotide small RNA is filed under the name Arabidopsis thaliana (thale cress). RNAcentral describes it as "ATSL094570". Lineage: Eukaryota; Viridiplantae; Streptophyta; Magnoliopsida; Brassicales; Brassicaceae. The record is from RNAcentral.